This 253-nucleotide ribosomal RNA is filed under the name uncultured bacterium. RNAcentral's name for it is "partial 16S ribosomal RNA". It matches the Rfam family "Bacterial small subunit ribosomal RNA", at positions 524 to 776 of the family's 1533-position model. The record is from RNAcentral.
UACCGAGGGGGCAAGCGUUGUUCGGAAUUACUGGGCGUAAAGGGCGCGUAGGCGGCCUGUUAAGUCGAACGUGAAAUCCCCGGGCUCAACCCGGGAACUGCGUCCGAUACUGGCAGGCUUGAAUUCGGGAGAGGGAUGCGGAAUUCCAGGUGUAGCGGUGAAAUGCGUAGAUAUCUGGAGGAACACCGGUGGCGAAGGCGGCAUCCUGGACCGAGAUUGACGCUGAUGCGCGAAAGCCAGGGGAGCAAACGGG